Long non-coding RNA from Talpa occidentalis (Iberian mole), 1256 nucleotides. RefSeq lists it as uncharacterized. The transcript is spliced from 4 exons. NCBI's taxonomy places the organism in Eukaryota, Metazoa, Chordata, Mammalia, Eulipotyphla, Talpidae. The record is from RefSeq and is a predicted model, not a curated record.
UUCUCGUGUCCUGACAGGGCCCAUGAUCGCCCAACUGGACAGCGACGGGGACACACGUGCCACCUCCUCCAGCAAUGAUCCCAGCAUCGUCCACUCGGCCCGGGAUGCAAGGGAGAGGGAGUCCUCCUGGAGUCCAGGGUUCCAGAAAACCCUGGAGCUGGGGUGCACACAAGGACGGCCACGCCCCACUGCACCCCAGGGCGUCGCCCCCAGCCUCCGGCUUGCUGAGCCUCUCUAGAGGAUGGGCCUACUGAAUGGGGUGGACCAAGACCCAAGUGCCAAGUAUUCAGUGGGCUUGUUGGAUCACCUGCCUUUCUGCAUCUGUGACUCUGCUUGCCGCCCCCCGUGGAGAGGACUGCACAGCUGGCCAAUCAGGGUGCAGUCGUCGCUAAUAUUCUUUCCCCAGAUCAUUCACAGACGUCACAAUCCCUGUUCUCAUGACGGAAACCAGGACAAACGCACAUGGCAUGAUUAACCUCCAUCUUCCAGCAAAGCAGAGAAUGAAAAGCUGAAAGUAAAAAUGAACCCUUUUGUUAAGGUGUAGCUCUCCCUCUACCAAAGCACCCAUAAUAAUAAGAGGCCAAGAGAAAGUCAAGGAUGCUCUCCAAAGCCAGUUGUCAUCAAUGUCCGGACAGAAAUCAUCUCUUCUGGUGGGGCCACCAUGGUUCCUAGUACAGAAGCUGAAGUGGGUAAUUGUGCAUUUGUAAAAGGAAGAACCCAAGAUAUCCAGAAACCUGUGCUCUGGCUCCAGCUCUGGCCGGUUCUGUGGUCUGGGGAAGGCCUUUCCUUCUCACAAAUGCAGUCUCCUGCAGAAUGACAUUGUCAUAUCUGCUCAAUAAAUUAACAUCAAAUGGCUCAUGUCACUCUUCAAGUCCACUUGCCAAUAAAGAAGGAAAAGAAGUGAGGAUUAGAGGAAGGCUAGGGGAAUCAUCUUGCAACUAUCAAGAGGACCAACACCCAAAUUUCAAAGUGUGUUACUUUUGUGCUUUUUGAGAGCCUAUUUUCUAUAUCUCUGAUCACCUCUAGUGCUCUUUUCUGAAUCCCUUCUAGUUUUCAAUGUCUUUUUUAUGGGUGUUAAUCACAAUUACUCAUCAUUCUGAUCAGUGUUCAAGGGAGUAACAAUAUAUCAUAUAAGAAUUACUUUCCAUUCUCUGCAAGUCAUAUGAGUAUCCUUUAUUAGAACCGUGGCUAACUCUUUUUUUUUGCUUCUAAUAACACUAACUUGUUAUUUCACAUUCAGCCUGUGGUUAGCUAAG